RNAcentral lists this non-coding RNA (26 nucleotides) under Homo sapiens (human). Lineage: Eukaryota; Metazoa; Chordata; Mammalia; Primates; Hominidae. The record is from RNAcentral.
UGGUGGUGCAGAGCGUGGGCACGGAU